CUGCGGAAGGAUCAUUACCGAGUUUUCGAGCUCCGGCUCGACUCUCCCACCCUUUGUGAACGUACCUCUGUUGCUUUGGCGGCUCCGGCCGCCAAAGGACCUUCAAACUCCAGUCAGUAAACGCAGACGUCUGAUAAACAAGUUAAUAAACUAAAACUUUCAACAACGGAUCUCUUGGUUCUGGCAUCGAUGAAGAACGCAGCGAAAUGCGAUAAGUAAUGUGAAUUGCAGAAUUCAGUGAAUCAUCGAAUCUUUGAACGCACAUUGCGCCCCUUGGUAUUCCGGGGGGCAUGCCUGUUCGAGCGUCAUUACAACCCUCAAGCUCUGCUUGGAAUUGGGCACCGUCCUCACUGCGGACGCGCCUCAAAGACCUCGGCGGUGGCUGUUCAGCCCUCAAGCGUAGUAGAAUACACCUCGCUUUGGAGCGGUUGGCGUCGCCCGCCGGACGAACCUUCUGAACUUUUCUCAAGGUUGACCUCGGAUCAGGUAG
Molecule: ribosomal RNA, 490 nt
Filed under: Lasiodiplodia pseudotheobromae
Lineage: Eukaryota; Fungi; Ascomycota; Dothideomycetes; Botryosphaeriales; Botryosphaeriaceae
Description: eukaryotic LSU rRNA
Rfam family: 5.8S ribosomal RNA (bases 155-308)
Source: RNAcentral